RNAcentral lists this ribosomal RNA (467 nucleotides) under uncultured bacterium. RNAcentral describes it as "partial 16S ribosomal RNA". It matches the Rfam family "Bacterial small subunit ribosomal RNA", at positions 28 to 507 of the family's 1533-position model. The record is from RNAcentral.
GAUGAACGCUGGCGGCGUGCUUAACACAUGCAAGUCGAACGGAAAGGCUCCUGCUUGCAGGGGUACUCGAGUGGCGAACGGGUGAGUAACACGUGGGUGAUCUGCCCUGCACUUCGGGAUAAGCCUGGGAAACUGGGUCUAAUACCGGAUAGGACCACAUUUUGGAUGGUGUGGUGGAAAGUUUUUCGGUGUGGGAUGAGCUCGCGGCCUAUCAGCUUGUUGGUGGGGUAAUGGCCUACCAAGGCGUCGACGGGUAGCCGGCCUGAGAGGGGGUACGGCCACAUUGGGACUGAGAUACGGCCCAGACUCCUACGGGAGGCAGCAGUGGGGAAUAUUGCACAAUGGGCGCAAGCCUGAUGCAGCGACGCCGCAUGGGGGAUGACGGCCUUCGGGUUGUAAACUCCUUUCGCUAGGGACGAAGCGUUUUUGUGACGGUACCUGGAGAAGAAGCACCGGCUAACUACGUG